CGCUGUAAUUAUAUCUCAUGCAGAUGAAGCAGCGAAAGAAAUUAAUUGUAAAGGUUCAAUUGUGAAAUUUAUCAUGAAUGUGUUAGAUUAGAUCUAAAGGAAUAUUCAUGAUUUAUUUUGAUUGAGUUAUUUUCUGUUAUGUAAUUAGCAAUAGGAUUGCUAUUUAUGAAAUAUGUUGAUCUAUUUGUGAAAUGAGUCAACAUAUU
RNAcentral lists this long non-coding RNA (206 nucleotides) under Elaeis guineensis (African oil palm). RNAcentral describes it as "long non-coding RNA (EGUI_LNC073441)". Lineage: Eukaryota; Viridiplantae; Streptophyta; Magnoliopsida; Arecales; Arecaceae. The record is from RNAcentral.